GGAAGGUGCGAGCGUUAAUCGGAAUUACUGGGCGUAAAGCGCGCGUAGGCGGCUAGAUAAGUCGGGUGUGAAAGCCCCGGGCUCAACCUGGGAACUGCAUUCGAUACUGUCUGGCUAGAGUGUGAUAGAGGGAGGCGGAAUUCCGCAUGUAGCGGUGAAAUGCGUAGAGAUGCGGAGGAACACCAAUGGCGAAGGCAGCCUCCUGGAUUAACACUGACGCUGAGGUGCGAAAGCGUGGGGAGCAAACAGGAUUAGAUAGCCUGGUAGUCCCACGCCGUAAACGAUGUCAACUAGCCCGUUGGGAGCAAUUUGGCUCUUGGUGGCGUAGCUAACGCGAUAAGUUGACCGCCUGGGGAGUACGGUCGCAAGAUUA
This 373-nucleotide ribosomal RNA is filed under the name uncultured organism. RNAcentral's name for it is "partial 16S ribosomal RNA". It matches the Rfam family "Bacterial small subunit ribosomal RNA", at positions 527 to 896 of the family's 1533-position model. The record is from RNAcentral.